Molecule: ribosomal RNA, 254 nt
Filed under: uncultured bacterium
Lineage: Bacteria
Description: partial 16S ribosomal RNA
Rfam family: Bacterial small subunit ribosomal RNA
Source: RNAcentral
UACGUAGGUGGCGAGCGUUGUCCGGAUUUACUGGGCGUAAAGAGCGCGCAGGCGGUCGUUCAAGUCGCGUGUGAAAGCCCCCGGCUCAACUGGGGAGGGUCACGCGAUACUGAUCGACUCGAAGGCAGGAGAGGGUAGUGGAAUUCCCGGUGUAGUGGUGAAAUGCGUAGAUAUCGGGAGGAACACCAGUGGCGAAGGCGACUACCUGGCCUGUUCUUGACGCUGAGGCGCGAAAGCGUGGGGAUCGAACGAGG